RNAcentral lists this ribosomal RNA (393 nucleotides) under uncultured bacterium. Its description in RNAcentral is "partial 16S ribosomal RNA". It matches the Rfam family "Bacterial small subunit ribosomal RNA", at positions 523 to 918 of the family's 1533-position model. The record is from RNAcentral.
AUACGGAGGAUGCGAGCGUUAUCCGGAUUUAUUGGGUUUAAAGGGUGCGUAGGCGGACGAUUAAGUCCGCUGUGAAAUGCCCGCGCUUAACGCGGGAAGUGCAGUUGAUACUGGUUGUCUGGAGUGCCGUUGCCGUGGGGGGAAUGUGUAGUGUAGCGGUGAAAUGCAUAGAUAUUACACAGAACGCCGAUUGUGAAGACACCUCACGAAGCGGUAACUGACGCUGAGGCACGAAAGCGUGGGGAUCGAACAGGAUUAGAUACCCUGGUAGUCCACGCAGUAAACGAUGAUGACUAACCGCCGGCGAGAGACUGUCGGUGGCCAAGCGAAAGCGAUAAGUACUCCACCUGGGGAGUACGCCGGCAACGGUGAAACUCAAAUGAAUUGGCGGGG